This 253-nucleotide ribosomal RNA is filed under the name uncultured bacterium. RNAcentral describes it as "partial 16S ribosomal RNA". It matches the Rfam family "Bacterial small subunit ribosomal RNA", at positions 524 to 776 of the family's 1533-position model. The record is from RNAcentral.
UACGGAGGGUGCAAGCGUUGUCCGGAUUUAUUGGGUUUAAAGGGUGCGUAGGCGGCCCGUUAAGUCAGUGGUGAAAGGCUUCAGCUCAACUGAAGCAUUGCCAUUGAUACUGACGGGCUUGAGUACAGAUGAGGUAGGCGGAAUUUAUGGUGUAGCGGUGAAAUGCUUAGAUACCAUAAAGAACACCGAUUGCGUAGGCAGCUUACUGGGCUGUUACUGACGCUGAGGCACGAAAGCGUGGGGAGCAAACAGG